GUAGGUGAACCUGCGGAAGGAUCAUUACCGAGUGAGGGUCUGGGUCCAACCUCCCACCCGUGUUUAUUUACCUUGUUGCUUCGGCGGGCCCGCCUUAACUGGCCGCCGGCUUCCGCCCGGGCCCGCGCCCGCCGAAGACACCCGAACUCUGUCUGAAGAUUGCAGUCUGAGUGAAAAUAUAAAUUAUUUAAAACUUUCAACAACGGAUCUCUUGGUUCCGGCAUCGAUGAAGAACGCAGCGAAAUGCGAUACGUAAUGUGAAUUGCAAAUUCAGUGAAUCAUCGAGUCUUUGAACGCACAUUGCGCCCCCUGGUAUUCCGGGGCAUGCCUGUCCGAGCGUCAUUUCUGCCCUCAAGCCCGGCUUGUGUGUUGGGCCCCGUCCCCCGAUCCCGGGACAGGCCCGAAAGGCAGCGGCGGCACCGCGUCCGGUCCUCGAGCGUAUGGCUUUGUCACCCGCUCUGUAGGCCCGGCCGGCGCCUGCCACCAACCCAAAUUUUUU
Molecule: unclassified non-coding RNA, 499 nt
Filed under: Penicillium vulpinum
Lineage: Eukaryota; Fungi; Ascomycota; Eurotiomycetes; Eurotiales; Aspergillaceae
Description: sequence contains 18S rRNA gene, ITS1 and 5.8S rRNA gene
Rfam family: 5.8S ribosomal RNA (bases 192-342)
Source: RNAcentral